GUCCAGACUCCUACGGGAGGCAGCAGUGGGGGAUAUUGCACAAUGGGGGGAACCCUGAUGCAGCGACGCCGCGUGGGUGAAGAAGCGCCUCGGCGCGUAAAGCCCUGUCAGCAGGGAAGAAAAUGACGGUACCUGAAGAAGAAGCCCCGGCUAACUACGUGCCAGCAGCCGCGGUAAUACGUAGGGGGCAAGCGUUAUCCGGAUUUACUGGGUGUAAAGGGGGCGCAGACGGCGAUGCAAGCCAGGAGUGAAAGCCCGGGGCCCAACCCCGGGACUGCUCUGGAAACUGCGGCGCUGGAGUACGGGAGGGGCAGGCGGAAUUCCUGGUGGAGCGGUGAAAUGCGUAGAUAUUAGGAGGAACACCAGUGGCGAAGGCGGCCUGCUGGACGACAACUGACGGUGAGGCGCGAAAGCGUGGGGAGCAAACAGGAUUAGAUACCCUUGUACAC
RNAcentral lists this ribosomal RNA (449 nucleotides) under uncultured bacterium. RNAcentral describes it as "bacterial SSU rRNA". It matches the Rfam family "Bacterial small subunit ribosomal RNA", at positions 329 to 795 of the family's 1533-position model. The record is from RNAcentral.